AGCUGACGUGGUCCAUGCUCUGAGGAUCUCCGAAAAACUGAUUGCUGUUUGGUCAAAGUCAGAAGUCUCUGCCUUUUGAAGACAGUUCUUAUUUUUCAUUUCAUACACUACUCUUCCGUAUACUGGAAGGCACUGGAUCGAAGCAACAGACAAGCAACCAAGUGCGAGAAGGAGAGCGGAUUGGGAGAAGGGAAGAGGGAAUGGGCUCGACCCAGGUUCGGCUGCCGGAGCGGAGCUGAAGCGAAGCUGAAGCUUCUCGUCUCCUGGAGAAAGCCGCAGCUCCUCUCGCAGCAAAAAAUUUGAAAUGCCCAGUUUUAAGUGGCUCAGCACUGCAACCCCAGCGCUGACUCGGGAGAGACGAAGAUGAGCACACAUUAAUACAGAUCUCUGUGUACGGUUUUAUAGAAAAAAUCACAGUUAAAUGUGGUAUUAACACCAUUAUAUUUGUAUAGGUACACCAGUGAUUCCACAAUCUAAAUGACCAAUGCCAUGCUUGAAAAGCUGUGUUUCCAUUAUUUUGUUAAAGCUGCAAGUAUCACAAUUACAGACUAUUCCAACAUAACUCUAAGCACCCUCCUAAGCAUAAUAUAAAUGCAUUCUGUAGGCAUGGAAGUGAGGUCAUGCUUAAGUUUUUAAAAAAUACCCAAUUUGCUAUUGGCUGGCUUCCUCUACAAGUCUGCAAGGUCAAACCUUUUCUUGUAAGUGGAAGAUACAAUUUAGGCCAUUUUUCUUAUAUUUUAAAACAUUUGAGCAAUUGGUAAUCAAUAACCUGCACGUCCAUGGGCAUGGG
Long non-coding RNA from Acipenser ruthenus (sterlet), 790 nucleotides. RefSeq lists it as uncharacterized. The record is from RefSeq and is a predicted model, not a curated record. The transcript has 3 exons. NCBI's taxonomy places the organism in Eukaryota, Metazoa, Chordata, Actinopteri, Acipenseriformes, Acipenseridae.